GAUGAACGCUGGCGGCGUGCCUAAUACAUGCAAGUCGAGCGAACAGACGAGGAGCUUGCUCCUCUGACGUUAGCGGCGGACGGGUGAGUAACACGUGGAGAACCUACCUAUAAGACUGGGAUAACUUCGGGAAACCGGAGCUAAUACCGGAUAAUAUAUUGAACCGCAUGGUUCAAUAGUGAAAGACGGAUUUGCUGUCACUUAUAGAUGGAUCCGCGCCGCAUUAGCUAGUUGGUAAGGUAACGGCUUACCAAGGCAACGAUGCGUAGCCGACCUGAGAGGGUGAUCGGCCACACUGGAACUGAGACACGGUCCAGACUCCUACGGGAGGCAGCAGUAGGGAAUCUUCCGCAAUGGGCGAAAGCCUGACGGAGCAACGCCGCGUGAGUGAUGAAGGUCUUCGGAUCGUAAAACUCUGUUAUUAGGGAAGAACAAAUGUGUAAGUAACUAUGCACGUCUUGACGGUACCUAAUCAGAAAGCCACGGCUAACUACGUG
This 497-nucleotide ribosomal RNA is filed under the name uncultured bacterium. RNAcentral's name for it is "partial 16S ribosomal RNA". It matches the Rfam family "Bacterial small subunit ribosomal RNA", at positions 28 to 507 of the family's 1533-position model. The record is from RNAcentral.